This 25-nucleotide non-coding RNA is filed under the name Cricetulus griseus (Chinese hamster). The record is from RNAcentral. Lineage: Eukaryota; Metazoa; Chordata; Mammalia; Rodentia; Cricetidae.
ACUGUAUUCAUUUUGUUUCUUUGGA